This 533-nucleotide unclassified non-coding RNA is filed under the name Hevea brasiliensis (rubber tree). Lineage: Eukaryota; Viridiplantae; Streptophyta; Magnoliopsida; Malpighiales; Euphorbiaceae. The record is from RNAcentral.
AAUUGGGAUAGAUUCAGUAGACUAUAAAGAACAGAGUAGAAGAGAGAUUAGGCUGGGCAAAAUGAUUCAUUUGAAGCAAGGUGAUAUGUUGGCUCAAGUAGGAUCUGUAAUUGCUAGUAUAAUGUUUGUUUGGGCCAUGUUCAAACAGUACUUCCCAUACGAACUGCGAGAUCGUCUUGAGAAGUACACUCAAAAAGUCUUCGCCUUUGUUUACCCUUACAUUCAAAUCACAUUCCAUGAGUUCACCGGAGAGCGUCUGAUGCGCAGUGAAGCUUACUCCGCUAUUGAGACUUACCUUAGCUCCAGUUCUUCUAUGCAGGCCAAGCGGCUCAAGGCUGAGGUAGUCAAGAACAAUCAGUCACUUGUUCUGAGCAUGGAUGAUAAUGAAGAGGUUGCUGAUGAAUUCAAAGGAGUCAAGCUAUGGUGGGCUUCUGGGAAGAAUGUUUUCAAGUCGCAGACAUUUUCUUUCCAUCAGUUUACAGAUGAGAAAAGGUACUACAAGCUCAGGUUCCAUAAGAGACAUAGAGAUCUCA